RNAcentral lists this ribosomal RNA (636 nucleotides) under uncultured Bacteroidota bacterium. Its description in RNAcentral is "bacterial SSU rRNA". It matches the Rfam family "Bacterial small subunit ribosomal RNA", at positions 595 to 1233 of the family's 1533-position model. Lineage: Bacteria; Pseudomonadati; Bacteroidota. The record is from RNAcentral.
UGAAAUGGUGCGGCUCAACCGUAGCACUGCCCUUGAUACUGGUUGUCUUGAGUCAUAGUGAAGUGGCCGGAAUAUGUAGUGUAGCGGUGAAAUGCAUAGAUAUUACAUAGAACACCGAUUGCGAAGGCAGGUCACUAACUAUCGACUGACGCUGAUGGACGAAAGCGUGGGGAGCGAACGGGAUUAGAUACCCCGGUAGUCCACGCCGUAAACGAUGGAUACUAGCUGUCCGCUACCUUGAGUAGUGGGCGGCCCAGCGAAAGUGAUAAGUAUCCCACCUGGGGAGUACGUUCGCAAGAAUGAAACUCAAAGGAAUUGACGGGGGCCCGCACAAGCGGUGGAGCAUGUGGUUUAAUUCAAUGAUACGCGAGGAACCUUACCAGGGCUUAAAUGCAUAAUGACAGGUCUAGAGAUAGACUUUUCUUCGGACAUUUUGCAAGGUGCUGCAUGGUUGUCGUCAGCUCGUGCCGUGAGGUGUCAGGUUAAGUCCUAUAACGAGCGCAACCCCUGCCGUCAGUUGCCAGCAAGUAAAGUUGGGGACUCUGACGGGACUGCCGGUGCAAACCGCGAGGAAGGUGGGGACGACGUCAAAUCAUCACGGCCCUUACGUCCUGGGCUACACACGUGCUACAAUGG